This 1664-nucleotide long non-coding RNA is filed under the name Citrus sinensis (sweet orange). RNAcentral's name for it is "long non-coding RNA (CSIN_LNC001998)". Lineage: Eukaryota; Viridiplantae; Streptophyta; Magnoliopsida; Sapindales; Rutaceae. The record is from RNAcentral.
AGCCUUUUGCCAAAUGGCUUAACUUAUUGAUGGGAUCUCUCUCAAACAUAUUAUGCAUUGAGUCAGUGUACAUAUCGAUUAUUGCUGGUAUCUCUUCUAAAGCUCUAUAUCAUCAAUUACAGGCAGGUGGAAAUAUUUAUUGGAUCUCUAUAUCAUCAAUUAGUGUUACACACACGCUUUACUGACCAUGAAAUAUAUAUGGCCAAUGCUAAGCCUGGUGCUUUUUGGUAACCUGAAUUCUUUUCUCACACAUGUGCUUUUUUUUUUUUUUCCUACAUGUUCAGUAAUAUAAUGGUCAUUUGCUGCUGAAUAUUUUUCUGUGCUAGAGUUUUUGCUUUGAUUAACUGUCAACAGCAGUGGGGCGGUUCAUGGCCAACUGACUGCCCCAGUAUUACUGGAUGCAUGGUUUAAUUUCCUUCACAUUUAAAGGAACUAAUAAAUAUACGUCUACACUUGUGCAGCACUUGCUUUUAACUUUUGUCUUUGUUUUGGUAGCUUGUUGCUUUCGUCAUUGCUUCAUUGGACACAUUCGUAGGAUUUGCACGCAAUAUUUGCAGAGCAAUUAAAGGUAACAUUUGUGUUAACUUGGGGAAAAAAAAAUAUUUGAUUCGCUUUGAAUCGUUGCACUCACUGUUUAUCAACAUAUGCAUAAAAUCUCAUUAGCAACCACCAAUCCACCAUGUUUAAUUUGUAUGCCAUUAAGUUUGUAUAAGCUUGCUAUUGAAUGUAUUAAAGUUUACAUAAAAGUCGCUGCAUUUGACGUGUCUAGGUUAAUUUAUUAAGGGUUGUCGCGGCCAGUUUUGAUUCUUUAUUACGGUUGCACUUGAAGCAUGAGAAGACUUAAGUAACGUGCAAUUAAAGUAAACAUACGCCGACUCUUUUAGUUAUAUUAACAAGUAUUAUUCUUGAGAUAGAUAAAUCCUUAAUUAAUUACUAUCACGUGAUAGAUUGUCCGCUGAAUAUGAAAACGGAGUUAAAGAAUUCUUGUGACUUGCUGUGCUUCAUUCUGACAAUCGUCGGUCAAUUAGAUGUCCUUGUAAUAAAUGUACUGCAACAUGAAGAUUUACAAAACUGAGGAAAUAAAGUUUCAUUUGCUUAAAUUCAGGUUUCUGCCAACAUAUCAAGUUGGACUAGGCAUGGGGAGAGAUUGACCUAAAUGCAACCUCUAGCAGUUGCCCAAAUCAUUCUCAAAGUCAUCAAGUUAUGGACAUGGUCCAUGAGGCUUACGAACAAUGUGACAAGAAUCCUAGGAAUUUAAGGGAUAUACGAGAAGAUGCUACAAAGUCCUCGUACCCAAAUUCGAAGCCAUCUAAAUUGUUGGUGUUAAUAGAAAUUAUAUAAUAUGAAAGACAAGCAUGAAUGAUCUGAUCAAGGGUUUACGGUUUUGGUGGAAGUAUUUUCUGACAUAUUUUCAGAAAUAACACAAUUCCUAAAUCAAUGGAGGCAUGCCAAAAUUCUACGGAGUAGAGCACUUGUUUCAGGUCAAAAUUCUUCUCUAACUAUUGAAGCAUUUGGACGUCGGGCUAAUUGUAUUUAUUUUAUUGAUGAAUGUGAAUAUGUGAUGAAUCUUUUUCAGAUUUUGUUAAUGAUAAAAAAAAGGAGGAAAAUGUAUGGGUGACGUUCAAAUUUUGUAUUUAUAUAUUUUAUUGAUGAAUGUGAAUAUG